Molecule: ribosomal RNA, 506 nt
Filed under: uncultured bacterium
Lineage: Bacteria
Description: bacterial SSU rRNA
Rfam family: Bacterial small subunit ribosomal RNA
Source: RNAcentral
AGUUUGAUCCUGGCUCAGGAUGAACGCUAGCGGCAGGCUUAAUACAUGCAAGUCGUGGGGCAGCAGGUUUGUAGCAAUACAGAUGCUGGCGACCGGCAAACGGGUGCGGAAACACGUACAGAACCUUCCUUUGAGCGGGGAAUAGCCCAGAGAAAUUUGGAUUAAUACCCCAUAGUAUAGUGAAGUGGCAUCACUUUAUUAUUAAAGAUUUAUCACUCGAAGAUGGCUGUGCGGCUGAUUAGGUAGUUGGCGGGUAAAGGCCCACCAAGCCUGCGAUCAGUAACUGGUGUGAGAGCACGACCAGUCACACGGGCACUGAGACACGGGCCCGACUCCUACGGGAGGCAGCAGUAAGGAAUAUUGGUCAAUGGAGGCAACUCUGAACCAGCCAUGCCGCGUGGAGGAUGAAGGUCCUCUGGAUUGUAAACUUCUUUUAUAUGGGACGAAAAAAGGCUUUUCUAAGUCGUCUGACGGUACCAUAUGAAUAAGCACCGGCUAACUCCGUG